This 253-nucleotide ribosomal RNA is filed under the name uncultured bacterium. Its description in RNAcentral is "partial 16S ribosomal RNA". It matches the Rfam family "Bacterial small subunit ribosomal RNA", at positions 524 to 776 of the family's 1533-position model. The record is from RNAcentral.
UACGAAGGGGGCUAGCGUUGCUCGGAAUCACUGGGCGUAAAGCGCACGUAGGCGGGUUCUUAAGUCAGGGGUGAAAUCCUGGAGCUCAACUCCAGGACUGCCUUUGAUACUGGCGGCCUUGAGUCCGGGAGAGGUGAGUGGAACUGCGAGUGUAGAGGUGAAAUUCGUAGAUAUUCGCAAGAACACCAGUGGCGAAGGCGGCUCACUGGCCCGGUACUGACGCUGAGGCGCGAAAGCGUGGGGAGCGAACAGG